CACAGAGAGGAGAUAUCGGCCUUGCCUUCCUCACAUCCCUUCCUUUCUCUUCAGAUCCUGGGGCAAGACUUCUGAAGUCUGGGAUGUUUGCCCUGCUAACUGGAUGCAUGUGGAGCUGAGAGGAGCACUGAAUUGUAUAGAGGAUUUGAGAGGUGUCACUGGAGUGGCCUCCUGGGAAAGCUGACCAUUGAGCAUCCUGGUUUCUCCCCGGAAGUCUCAGCCAGGAGGGCCAGAGAGCUCUCUGGGGGUAGGAGUGGUGGUUGAGUAAAGCAAAGACUGGGGACAGACACACAGAAGCCCUGAGCUCAGUUCCCAGCACUCACCACAAAGUAGGUGUGGUCUGUUCCUGUAAUCUCAGCACCUGAGACCUGGUGAAACUGGAUUAACAACAACAAAACCAAGCAACAAUAACAAAAAUCCCAAACAACAACAACAAUGAUAACAACAAAGCUGUGUCUGGAAGCUGAGGGCUUCUUUCUCUUUUAAAAACAUGUGUGGUUUCUAGUGGUUCUUAGCACCACUAUGGACCUGUUUCUCAUGGCUGAUCUGAUCUGGCUUCCCGGGGUCUUAGCCUCUUGCUCCCACUCACCCAGAGUUCCCACUAUCCCUGGCUUUCUUUUGAUUGCUCCAAUAGGCCAGGCUACUUCCCACCCCAAGGGCUUUGCUGAUGCCUUCUGUCCUGUUCUCUCCAUCUGACUCCCCUUCCCUUUCCUAGAGCGUCAAGUAGAGGCCACCUCAUGCGUACCCUGUAACCUCAGCUGUAACAGGAUGUUCUGUGGAGAGUUUGUCUUCUCCCUGGGAUGGUAAACUCCAAGGACAGAGCCCUUUCUUCCAAGGGAUGAAGAUAAAUAAACUCAAUGAUGUCGAUUGUGUGGAUAAUUACAUCUUAGGCUCACUGCACUUUGGAAGGGGCACCAUGAAGUCUUCUCAGAUCCUAGGACGUUCUCAGUUUAGAGAGGGGAAAUAAUACACA
This 973-nucleotide long non-coding RNA is filed under the name Mus musculus (house mouse). RNAcentral describes it as "long non-coding RNA chr14:21996321-21997294". Lineage: Eukaryota; Metazoa; Chordata; Mammalia; Rodentia; Muridae. The record is from RNAcentral.